Molecule: long non-coding RNA, 2395 nt
Organism: Zingiber officinale
Lineage: Eukaryota; Viridiplantae; Streptophyta; Magnoliopsida; Zingiberales; Zingiberaceae
Exons: 5
Source: RefSeq, a predicted model, not a curated record
AUUGCAACUUGCAAACGAUAAGAAUUGGGAAUGGAGGAGUCGGGAUUCAGAUUCUUGCGUUGUUCGAUAGAGUAUCAUUAUUUUGUUUCCGUUUUUGUUAUUGUCUUGGGAUUAAGCAGAUUCUUGUGAGGCGAGGAGCUUUUUGAUCGUUCGGAUCAAGGUCUGUCCGGCGCAGGAAUUGCAGGUUCACCAGGAAACUAAGAUGGAAAUUCUAAAGGGAGCAAGUAUCUACCACCCUGACACUUGUGCAAAAUAUAUUGGAGUUUCUGCUCCAGUUAUCACUCAUAACAUUACAAAGACCUUGUGCCUACAAAGUGAAGGAUGGGGAUACAAACAUAGAUGCAAAAGCAUACUUUAAGUUGGCGUUCAGUUUGGUGACAUAUCUCCGCAACCUUAUCGUAAGAAACAAUGGUGUGUUCAUUGUAGUUUCAAUUCCUCUUCUGAUGGUAAUGGAAGCAUGGCUGGCAAUUCAAUGCAAAUGAUGAGGACUAUGUAAACUCCACUGUAAUUGAAGCUAGUAAUAUCUUUGAAUCUACGAUCCUUUCUGAUGUUCUAGACCUGGCAUAACUUUUUGAAUGUAUAUAUUGUAUUAUUUUUUUACAUUUUCUCUCAACAUAACAAUUACCAUAGUCACUGUGUAGCCUAUCUCUAUGUUAAUAUGAUAAUUAAAUUAUACAAUUCUCCUGUUCACUUUUAAUGUGUUAGCUUCAGUUCAGGCUCAAAUCUAAGCUUUUAUAGGUUCACGUUAUAAUCAACCAUCUGAACUGAGGAGAACGAGAGUGGAUGACCUGCUGAUAUGUUUUCUUCAGAAAGAAUAGCGUAUUAGAAGUUAGAAGACCACCUGCAAUCUUGUUUUGGCUGUGAUGAAACUAGUCAUAGAUUAUAUUUUUUUUACUGUAAAUCAUACAUGUUGGCACAGUUGAUUUCUUUUACAUUGAUAUAAUAAUCAUCAUAUAGUCUUCUGAUUUAUUGUACGAUCCAUUGAUUACAUGACAUUUGUCUCGUACAAGCAGUUCCAAAUAGAAGUGACUAGAUCGUUUUAUGAUAAAGAUGUGUGAUGCAAGAUGUUUAAGAUGCAUGUUUCAUAGUAAACCUCAAGGAGGAAAUUAUCAGGUUAUGCUCCUCACCCUGCAAUUGCAGGUUUGUGUUAUAAUUAACCAUCUGAUCUGAGAAGAAAGAGAGUGGAUGACCUUUCUGAUAUGCAUUUUUUCAGAAAGAAUAUGGUAUUUGUAGUUAAAUGACCACCUGCAAUCUUGUUUUGGUUGUGAUGAAACUAGUCAUAAGUUAUAUUUUUUUUCUGUAAAUCAUACAUGUUGGUGGAGUUAAUUUCUUUUACAUUUUAUGGUGAUCAUCAUGUAAUCUUCUGAUUUACUGUAAGAUUAAUAGAUCACAUGAUAUUUGUCUCGUACAAGAAGUUCAGGUUAUAAGUGAGUCAGACGGUUUUUUAUGAUAAAGAUGCUUGAUGGAAGUUCUUUAAGAUGCAUUCAGAAUAAUCCCAAAGGAGAGAAAAAUUCAGAUAAUUCUCCUCACCCUGCAAUUGUGCUGAAGAUGGAAGAUAGAAGUGGUCUUCUGCUUCCUAUUGUUGUUUGUUUGUUUUUCCAUCUUUGCUUUAUACGGCUGCUAGUCUUUUCUUCCGCAAAGUGAUCUGACAUUCUUCAUAUUCAGUGCAAAUGCCAAGUUUGCUGUCGAUGGCUACAAUUCGGAAUGUUCCAAUAGAAAGCCCAACAAUUUAUCAAGUAACCAAAGUGAUGAUUGAAGAGCUGGGGUGGGAGGGAAUUUGAAAUCCUUCAUCUUUUCUGUUCUUUGUUAGGAUCACCAAGAGAGUGGAUCAUGUUUACUUUGCUCAGCUACAUCUCUCGAAGGUCAAUCUCAUAAUAAGGUCGGGAAUGUACAGAGAUUCAUAUCUUUGAUUUGCGAGCUUCUGAUGCCAUCAAUUUGGCUAUUCAAUGCAAGGUUUGCUCUGGUCUCAAAAUAGCAUGAAUCUGGGCAAAAUAUAUAUCAUCAAUGCCUAGACAUGAGAAAAUAUUCAACCAAGUUAUUUGCUACUCUUUGUGUGUUUGUGUGUGUGUGUGUGUGAGCAUGAAUCUGGGCAAAAAUAUAUAUCAUCAAUGCCUAGACAUGAGAAAAUAUUCAACCAAGUUAUUUGCUACGCUUUGUGUGUGUGUGUGCGCGCGCGCGCGUGUGUGUGCGCGCGCGCGCGUGUGUGUGUGUGUGAGAGAGUUAUGAAUAUGGGCCAAUCAGUGCGAACCGGAUCGAAAUUUAUUUAAAGCCAAGGUUUUGUGGUGGUAAACACUAACUUGAUAGUGGGCUUGUCUAUAUAUUAGUAUAUUACAUUCUGAAAUUAUUUUGGAGUAGCUGCUGAAAUCAUUUUUUAGUGGUAAGAAUGGUCGGCUGU